GGCAAGACAACCGGGUGGAUGCCAUGGGAAUUGCUUCACAUCAGGUGAAUCCCAAAUGCAGUGAGAAGACACAAUCAGCCCAGCUGCCUUUCUGAGGGGAAAAGCACAUACCAGACAGCCAGAGAGAUAAAACCAGAAUGGCUGUACUUUCUGAAUUAAUUGAUUCUCGCCCAGUAUUGGAAGGAGAGCUGUAAUAGAAGUACAGAGGGAAAUAAAGCACGAGAAAUCUUACCAGUUCCCUGACACCAUAUUGUUUCUCCACCUUGGCCUUUAAGUGCCUGAAACACUCCUCCAUGCGUUCAUGGAAAGGACGAAGGCUGUCUGAAACUCUCCUCUCAUGAAUCUUAAUUCCAGCUCCCAAAAAUGGAAUCUGGGAAGGCACAACAAGAAAACACUUUAAGUUGUAUCCCACAUUUCGACAAAAUGACAAGAUGAUUGCAGAAAUAAACCUGC
Anolis sagrei ordinatus is the source of this 453-nucleotide long non-coding RNA. RefSeq lists it as uncharacterized. The record is from RefSeq and is a predicted model, not a curated record. NCBI's taxonomy places the organism in Eukaryota, Metazoa, Chordata, Lepidosauria, Squamata, Anolidae.